RNAcentral lists this long non-coding RNA (282 nucleotides) under Lathyrus oleraceus (garden pea). RNAcentral describes it as "Pisum sativum (pea) long non-coding RNA (PSAT_LNC014046)". The record is from RNAcentral. Lineage: Eukaryota; Viridiplantae; Streptophyta; Magnoliopsida; Fabales; Fabaceae.
UUUUAUUUCAUCAACUUUGAAAAAUCACUAAAAAUAGUAAACAUGUCCAAUUUGAUCCAAUUUUUUUUCCACAUGUUUUUUUUUUAUGUCUAUUAUUUUGUGAUGUUAAUUUCCUGAUUUUUGUGUUGCUGGAUUUUCAAUUGUGCUUGAUUGUUUGAACAUGAUGCCAAUUUGCUAUGUUGUGCUAUUUGUUUUAUGACAUGCUUAUCUUUAAUCCAAUUUCUUUGAAAUUUGACAUGCUUAUUCAUAACAUGUGACAUGAUUUUUUGGAUUUUGUUUGGC